RNAcentral lists this long non-coding RNA (520 nucleotides) under Androctonus crassicauda. The record is from RNAcentral. Lineage: Eukaryota; Metazoa; Arthropoda; Arachnida; Scorpiones; Buthidae.
CACGGACCCAUGAUAAACAUUUUCAAGGAGUGGGACUCGAGAUUCGAAUCCGGAUCCUCCAGAGUGGAAGGGUUGGAUUAUUAAACUACAAAAUCACACAAGCGAUUUGGCGGCUUAAUACAAACAUUCGGAAACCAUCAUAGGCUGAGAUAGGGUCAACCGAAAAGUUAGAUGAUGGGAUUUAGGCCCGAACUACACUAUCGAGCAGCCCACGGUUCGAUCUCGGUCCGGUCAUUUUACAACGUGUUCACAUAUCCGUUCACAAGUAAGUCUGAAACCAGCCUCCAGACUGGAAAUAGUCGCUGGUGCACUGUAGAAAUGAUAUUAAAUUUUUCAUCGAAGAACUAUCAAUUAUGGUUAUCCAUGAUGGAGGGGAAAAAUUAAGAAACGAAAAAAGGCAAAAAUAAGGAUUUAAGUACAUCCAAAUUUAAUGCAAAGAAAACUUGAAGGGGAAUAUUACAUCCUGUAUCAUCAUUUAAUAGAUGAUGAUGAUGAUAAAUUUAUAAAAUAUUUUUGAAUG